CCUACGGGAGACAGCAGUGAGGAAUAUUGGUCAAUGGGCGCGAGCCUGAACCAGCCAAGUCGCGUGAGGGAAGACGGCCCUACGGAUUGUAAACUUCUUUUGUCGGGGAGUAAAAGGCGCCACGUGUGCCGUUUUGUGUGUACUUGAUGAAUAAGCAUCGGCUAACUCCGUGCCAGCAGCCGCGGUAAUACGGAGGGUGCGAGCGUUACCCGGAUUUAUUGGGUGUAAAGGGUGCGUAGAUGGGUGGUUAAGACAGUUGUGAAAGUUUGCGGCUUAACCUUAGAAUUGCAUUUGUGACUGGUUGGCUAGAGUACAUCAGAGGGAGGUGGAAUUCGAGGUGUAGCGGUGAAAUGCGUAGAUAUGACGAAGAACUCCGAUGGCGAAGGCAGCCUCCUAAAACGCCACUGACACUGAUGCACGAAAGUGUGGGUAGCAAACAGGAUUAGAUACCCGUGUAGUC
This 460-nucleotide ribosomal RNA is filed under the name uncultured bacterium. Its description in RNAcentral is "partial 16S ribosomal RNA". It matches the Rfam family "Bacterial small subunit ribosomal RNA", at positions 338 to 795 of the family's 1533-position model. The record is from RNAcentral.